This 468-nucleotide ribosomal RNA is filed under the name uncultured bacterium. Its description in RNAcentral is "partial 16S ribosomal RNA". It matches the Rfam family "Bacterial small subunit ribosomal RNA", at positions 28 to 507 of the family's 1533-position model. The record is from RNAcentral.
GACGAACGCUGGCGGCGUGCUUAACACAUGCAAGUCGAACGGAAAGUCCCUGCUUUUGUGGGGUGCUCGACUGACGAACUGGUGAGUAACACGUGAGUAACCUGCCCUUGACUUUGGGAUAACUUCAGGAAACUUGGUCUAAUACCGGCUAGGAGCUCCUGCUGCAUGGUGGGGGUUGGAAAGUUUCGGCGGUUGGGGAUGGACUCGCGGCUUAUCAGCUUGUUGGUUGGGUAGUGGGUUACCAAGGCUUUGACCGGUAGCCGGGCUGGGAGGGUGACCGGCCACAUUGGGCCUGAGAUACGGCCCAGACUCCUACGGGAGGCAGCAGUGGGGAAUAUUGCACAAUGGGCGGAAGCCUGAUGCAGCAACGCCGCGUGCGGGAUGACGGCCUUCGGGUUGUAAACCGCUUUCGCCUGUGACGAAGCGUGAGUGACGGUAAUGGGUAAAGAAGCACCGGCUAACUACGUG